GGGAAUAUGAUAUCAAAGAGAGUAUUAAAAACUAAGUUCAAUGUACAAUAGGGUGUUUCAUACUCAGGUCAAAACUUAAAAAAUCAGAUUUACCAUUGGCAUUAUAAAAAAAGGAGUAGGUGUAACAGAACUUCCUUUUCAUCAACCUGGAACCUACCAUGCCUGCCAUAUAGCCAGAUACAGGCUUCUUGGCAAAUUGUUUAUACCUAUACCCUGAGGAUGACUAAAAUGGUAGCCUAAUUUAUUUGAAUUUUGUAUUAUAUAUUAUUCUAUACAAAGCUCAUAUAUUCAUCCUUUAUUGACCAAAUUACCUUGGCGCUGAGUUGGGUGUGGCUGGAUAUGAACUUGUAUCGCUUUCAACUUGUAACACUUUUUUUACUUUGAAAUAAAGUACCGCUACCCAAAACUAAUACUUUCUGUCACUAUGUUGCGCCUUGUUUAAUAUUUAAAAUAUAAAUUAGUUGUUGAUCUUAACCGACAAUGAUUUUAAAGUGGUGGUAACAAAAAUUUUCAAGAAUUCGGUCAAGUGUGAUGCAGUUUCAUAUAGGGAAACCAAAGGUUUUUAGCAUAUAAACGGUGCAAGUUGAACUUUUAAUUUACCAAAGCUAAAUCCAGUUCAAAGUAGCUAAGUAUCUUUUUGAAAAGGGGAAAAAUUUGAUCAAGAGAGAUGCCAAUCAGACAUUUGUUAUACUUGCAACAUCACUUUUAAGUUUCUGGAAUCAUUUUUAUUUA
Hydra vulgaris (swiftwater hydra) is the source of this 732-nucleotide long non-coding RNA. RefSeq lists it as uncharacterized. Lineage: Eukaryota; Metazoa; Cnidaria; Hydrozoa; Anthoathecata; Hydridae. The record is from RefSeq and is a predicted model, not a curated record.